AGAGUUUGAUCCUGGCUCAGGAUGAACGCUGGCGGCGUGCCUAACACAUGCAAGUCGAGCGAUCUUCUUCGGAAGAGAGCGGCGGACGGGUGAGUAACGCGUGGGUAACCUGCCCUAUACACACGGAUAACAUACCGAAAGGUAUGCUAAUACGAGAUAAUAUAAGAAAUUCACAUGUUUUUCUUAUCAAAGCUGAGGCGGUAUAGGAUGGACCCGCGUCUGAUUAGCUAGUUGGUAAGGUAAUGGCUUACCAAGGCGACGAUCAGUAGCCGACCUGAGAGGGUGAUCGGCCACAUUGGAACUGAGACACGGUCCAAACUCCUACGGGAGGCAGCAGUGGGGAAUAUUGCACAAUGGGCGAAAGCCUGAUGCAGCAACGCCGCGUGAGCGAUGAAGGCCUUCGGGUCGUAAAGCUCUGUCCUCAAGGAAGAUAAUGACGGUACUUGAGGAGGAAGCCCCGGCUAACUACGUGCCAGCAGCCGCGGUAAUACGUAGGGGGCUAGCGUUAUCCGGAUUUACUGGGCGUAGAGGGUGCGUAGGUGGUUUCUUAAGUCAGGAGUGAAAGGCUACGGCUCAACCGUAGUAAGCUCUUGAAACUGGGAAACUUGAGUGCAGGAGAGGAAAGUGGAAUUCCUAGUGUAGCGGUGAAAUGCGUAGAUAUUAGGAGGAACACCAGUAGCGAAGGCGGCUUUCUGGACUGUAACUGACACUGAGGCACGAAAGCGUGGGGAGCAAACAGGAUUAGAUACCCUGGUAGUCCACGCCGUAAACGAUGAGUACUAGGUGUCGGGGGUUACCCCCCUCGGUGCCGCAGCUAACGCAUUAAGUACUCCGCCUGGGGAGUACGCUCGCAAGAGUGAGACUCAAAGGAAUUGACGGGGACCCGCACAAGUAGCGGAGCAUGUGGUUUAAUUCGAAGCAACGCGAAGAACCUUACCUAAGCUUGACAUCCUUUUGACCGAUGCCUAAUCGCAUUUUUCCCUUCGGGGACAGAAGUGACAGGUGGUGCAUGGUUGUCGUCAGCUCGUGUCGUGAGAUGUUGGGUUAAGUCCCGCAACGAGCGCAACCCUUGCCUUUAGUUGCCAGCAUUAAGUUGGGCACUCUAGAGGGACUGCCAGGGAUAACCUGGAGGAAGGUGGGGAUGACGUCAAAUCAUCAUGCCCCUUAUGCUUAGGGCUACACACGUGCUACAAUGGGUGGUACAGAGGGCAGCCAAGUCGUGAGGCCGAGCUAAUCCCUUAAAGCCAUUCUCAGUUCGGAUUGUAGGCUGAAACUCGCCUACAUGAAGCUGGAGUUACUAGUAAUCGCAGAUCAGAAUGCUGCGGUGAAUGCGUUCCCGGGUCUUGUACACACCGCCCGUCACACCAUGGGAGUUGGGGGCGCCCGAAGCCGGUUAGCUAACCUUUUGGAAGCGGCCGUCGAAGGUGAAACCAAUAACUGGGGUGAAGUCGUAACAAGGUA
This 1461-nucleotide ribosomal RNA is filed under the name metagenome. RNAcentral describes it as "bacterial SSU rRNA". It matches the Rfam family "Bacterial small subunit ribosomal RNA". The record is from RNAcentral.